GGAGAGAUGGCUGAGUGGGACUAAAGCGGCGGAUUGCUAAUCCGUUGUACAAUUUUUUUGUACCGAGGGUUCGAAUCCCUCUCUUUCCG
Molecule: transfer RNA, 89 nt
Filed under: Saccharum spontaneum (wild sugarcane)
Lineage: Eukaryota; Viridiplantae; Streptophyta; Magnoliopsida; Poales; Poaceae
Description: tRNA-Ser
Rfam family: tRNA
About the family: Transfer RNA (tRNA) molecules are approximately 80 nucleotides in length. Their secondary structure includes four short double-helical elements and three loops (D, anti-codon, and T loops). Further hydrogen bonds mediate the characteristic L-shaped molecular structure. tRNAs have two regions of fundamental functional importance: the anti-codon, which is responsible for specific mRNA codon recognition, and the 3' end, to which the tRNAs corresponding amino acid is attached (by aminoacyl-tRNA synthetases). tRNAs cope with the degeneracy of the genetic code in two manners: having more than one tRNA (with a specific anti-codon) for a particular amino acid; and 'wobble' base-pairing, i.e. permitting non-standard base-pairing at the 3rd anti-codon position.
Source: RNAcentral